Molecule: ribosomal RNA, 297 nt
Filed under: uncultured bacterium
Lineage: Bacteria
Description: partial 16S ribosomal RNA
Rfam family: Bacterial small subunit ribosomal RNA
Source: RNAcentral
CUCCGUGCCAGCUAGCCGCGGUAAUACGGAGGGUGCGAGCGUUAAUCGGAAUUACUGGGCGUAAAGCGCAUGCAGGUGGUUGUUAAGUCAGAUGUGAAAGUCCCGGGGCUCAACCUCGGAAUUGCAUUUUGAAACUGGCAGACUAGAGUACUGUAGAGGGGGUAGAAUUUCAGGUGUAGCGGUGAAAUGCGUAGAGAUCUGAAGGAAUACCGGUGGCGAAGGCGGCCCCCUGGACAGAUACUGACACUCAGACUGCGAAAGCGUGGGGAGCCAAACAGGAUUAGAUACCCCUGGUAG